CCUACGGGAGGCAGCAGUGGGGGAUAUUGCACAAUGGGGGGAACCCUGAUGCAGCGACGCCGCGUGAAGGAAGAAGUAUCUCGGUAUGUAAACUUCUAUCAGCAGGGAAGAAAAUGACGGUACCUGACUAAGAAGCCCCGGCUAACUACGUGCCAGCAGCCGCGGUAAUACGUAGGGGGCAAGCGUUAUCCGGAUUUACUGGGUGUAAAGGGAGCGUAGGCGGCAGUGCAAGUCAGAAGUGAAAGCCCGGGGCUCAACUCCGGGACUGCUUUUGAAACUGUACAGCUUGAUUGCAGGAGAGGCAAGUGGAAUUCCUAGUGUAGCGGUGAAAUGCGUAGAUAUUAGGAGGAACACCAGUGGCGAAGGCGGCUUGCUGGACUGUAAAUGACGCUGAGGCUCGAAAGCGUGGGGAGCAAACAGGAUUAGAUACCCCAGUAGUC
RNAcentral lists this ribosomal RNA (440 nucleotides) under uncultured bacterium. Its description in RNAcentral is "partial 16S ribosomal RNA". It matches the Rfam family "Bacterial small subunit ribosomal RNA", at positions 338 to 795 of the family's 1533-position model. The record is from RNAcentral.